UCUCUUUCUUUUCUCUUUCCUCUCUUUUUUCUUUUACUCAUACCCAUCCCAUCUCUUCAUCCAAGCAGAGAGAUGGGGUCUCCCUAUGUUGCCCAGGCUGGUCUCGAACUCCUGGACUCAAAAGAUUCUUCUGCCUUGGCCUCCCAAAGUGCUGGGAUUACAAGCAUGAGCCACCACACCUGGCCCAGGAUUGAAAGGCCUUGCAACAACCCAUGAGAUCGGUGAUGACUGCCCGCAUUUGCCAGCUUUGCAGGGAGAGGUCAAGACCAAGACGAUCUUCAGGCCCAAGGGAGGUAGGCAGGAAGCUUGCAAAGCCCACCCCUGGGAAGAGAGGAGGAAGCUGAGGCUUGAGCUGGAGCUCAGAAAUGGGGCUGGAGUUCCUCAUCAUUAUCUCAACUACCCUUGCCUGCUGGCCUGGAGGAUGAGGCUGGGACUGAAUUCUGGGCUUGGCCUGUCUCCACUGAGUCUGGCUGGCCGCCCUGCCUGUUGGCAGCUUGGAGUGUGGGUGCCGAGCUGGGCAUCUGGUGGGCUGGCUGGAGCUGGAAGACCCUGGGAAAGAUGAGGCCUCGCAACAACCCACGAGAUCUGUGAUGACUGCCCCCAUUUGCCAGAUGAGAAGCUGAGGCUCGGAGAUAUUGAGGAAUCUGUCGAGCGUGGUAGGGAGGGGAUGUGGGAGUCAAAUCCGGGUCAGAAUGGCUUUAAGACAUUUUCUUUGCCUUGGGCCACAGCUGCCUCUUCCUUGUUUAUGUUGUGGUUUUGGAGGAGGUAAAGGGACCCCAUCACUUCAAGUCCCUCCUCUGGGAAGGAGACCUCGUUCCAAGGUCCUUACUUUGUAGCUACUCAAUCAGGCCAGGGCCUCAGCUGGACCCUCAAGUGGCUGUUUUCACCGCAUGGGACUCCACAUGGGUAUAUGACAUUCCCUCUCCACUGCCUUGCAAUUAGAUGUGGGAGGCCCGGGCAGUUGACUCACCUCCCCCUACUCUCAGCCCAUCCCGGGAAUCUCAUCGGGACCUCUGGUCUCCUAUGCUAGCAUGGGCAUGGCCAGGCCAGCUGCACCCUCCUCUCUCACUCCAGCCUGGGUGAAAGGGCACAAGUGUGUCUGGGAAGCCAUUUCUCCCUGCCCACAGCCAUCCUGGUUCACGCUGUGACCUCAGCUGCCAUCCUUCCCAUUACCUGCUGUAUCCAGGACAACCGACAGCUCCUACUAUGCAGGGAGGGGAGGGUGAGGGGUGGGAAGAGGCGGCUCCACUGUCCUGACUCCCCAGCGAGCGUGCCACCUGUUCUGUCUGAGAAACUCAUGGCGGGAGGUAGAACCUCAGGUCCUUCAUGAGACAUAAGGAGGACUGUGGAGGACCUCAGAGGUUGAGGAAGAGGCUGAUUUGUAAACCAGCACCCUGGGCUCUGGCUGUUCCAGCCUUCAUGGAGUGGCGGGAACAGCAGGAAGGUGGAAUUAAAGGAACUGGGCUGGAUGUCCUCUGCCAGCUCUUAGCAGCUGUGUGACCUAAGGUAGGUCCCUUGACAUCUCUGAGUUUCCACGCAGAGAUGAUCAAUUCAUAGACUCACUAGGGACCUGCAAUGAAAAUAAAUGGACUUUGUAAACACUACAGCUUUAGUGUUAAGAGCACAUGCUCUUAACUGCACAGAAAGGUUGGGUUUGAAUUCUAGCCCUGCUGUGUGACCUUGUACAAAUGACUUCACCUCUGUGUCAGGUGCUUUUGCUGUGCAGCAAACACCUCACAACUCUGUGGCUUAAUGCAACAAACAUUCAUGUAGCUUGUGAUUUGGGAAUCAGCAAUUUCCACUGGGAUCAGCUGAGCUGUCCUGGUCUGGGCAAGGCUUGAAUGAUCUUGGCUGGGCUCACUCUUGUGUCUGCCAUUAGCUGGUGGAUGCCUGGAACUGGCUGAUUAAUUUGGCUUCCUCUGGGAUGAUGAACUAUGGGGCUCUCUCCACAAGCCUGCGCCUGUUCACAGAGCGGUAAAAGGGCUUCAGAGGCAGUGAGAGAGAAGCCCCAGUGUGCAAGCACUUUUUGAGCCCCUGCAGGCAUUAUGCUUGCUCCUUUCUUUUUAUUUUUUGAGACAGGGUCUCUCUCUGUCACCCAGGUUGGAGUGUAGUGGCAUGAUCAUGGUUCACUGCAGCCUUGACUUCCCAGGCUCCAGCGGCUCUUCCACCUCAGCCUCCUAGGCAGCUGGGACCACAGGCGUGCACCACCAUGCCUGGAUAAUUUUUGUAUUUUUGGCAGAGAUGGGGUUUUGCUAUGUUUCCCAGGCUGGCCUCAAACUCCUGAGCUCAAGCGAUCCAUUUGCCUCAGCCUCCCAAAGUGCUGGGAUUACAGGUGUGAGACACUGUGCCUGGAAUAUGCUUGCUUCUUUCUUAUUGGCCAAAGUAAGUCCCAUGGUCAAGUCCUGAGCCAGGGUGGGAGGGCACUGCCCAGGGUAGUGCAUGAACAAAUUGGGGGCCAUUACUGCAAUAAUCUAUCAUAACUCUCUGGGCCUCAGUUUCCUCAUCUGUAAAAUGAGCAUAAUAUUAUACUUUUCUCAAGGCCUUGUUGUGAGGGUUGAAAAGAAAUGAGCAAAUGUCUGUAAAAUGCACUCCAUGACUCAUGGCCAGAGAAGAAUAAGCAGUUCAUUAAGAGUGAGCUGUUGUUAAUAUUGUUAUUAGCAAGGACUUUGAGAGAGACAAUUUAAAAUCCCAUGCAGCAGGCUCUGGGCUGUGGGCCCUAGGAGCCAGCCCUGGGCCUGCUUUUCCACUCAGGGGAAGUGGGAGGUGCCAGGGAAAGCAGGUCCUAUGGAGGGGUCCAGUGUCUUCCCCAUUACAGCCCCUGAUGGAAUUCAGGGCUUUGUAUCUCUUCAGAACUGCUGCUAGUCUUCCCCAGGUUCCAAAGGGAUGACUUUGCUCCUUCCACUUCCCUUCUCUCCCUCCUUCUGGGCUCAGGGGACUUUAUUAUUAUUAUCUUGUUAAGUGACAGGGUCCCACUCUAUCACCCAGGCUGGAGUGGAGUGAUCCUAGCUCACGGCAGCCUUGAACCCCUGGGCUCAAGCCAUCCUCUCAUCUCAGCCUCUUAAGUAGCUGGGACUACAGAUGCAUGCCACCAUGCUAAUUUUUUAAAUUUUUUUUUGUAGAGAUGCGGUCUUACUAUUUCACCAGGCUGGUCUCGAACUCCUGGGUUCAGGCGAUCUUCCCGUGUGGGCCUCCCAAAGUGAUGGGAUUACAGGUGUGAGCCUCCGCACCAGGGUUCAGGGUAUUUUUGAUGAGGAAGAAAGUGGUCUGGGAAAGAAAGUGUCCACCUGAGGUGCUUGGUUCUGGGAGGAACUCCAAGCAUCUGUUAAGUUGGGGUUCCAAAACUUCUCUCCAUCAAAGCUCAUUUGGAUCUUUAGGGGACAAUUUGCAUUGUGUUCCCUGCCACAUUUUUUUCUACCACAACCCACACUCACAGGGAAGCCAACGGCCGUCACAUGCUCAUUUAAUGCCAUGUAGACACUGGCAGUACUGGGCUCAUAAGCUGGAAUUGGGUUGGGGUGUGUGAUGUCAUUAAUAGUUAACCAGAGUCCCUGGACAGUUGGGAAAAAUCAAUAAGGCUGCCAUCUUGGCGAGCUUGUGUAAGCUGUCCCAGGAAGGCGAGGAGGAUUGACUUUGUUAGACUUUUUAAAAUCUUGAAAACAGGAUUCACACAACUGCCUUCAUAGAGCCCAGCUCAGCAACCACAGGUCUGGUUCAACCUCUUCAUUCUGUGCUUCUAGGGGUCCUUUCUGAGCUCACCUAGGGAACCCAAGCAAGGAGGAUGGCUGGCUCUUCAUUCUUCUGAUCUUCAUUCUUCCUUGUGUGUUAGGUCCCCUGUCUUAGACACUGGAGAUAGGACAGUGAGCCAAUCAGAUGUGGGUCCUGCCCUCAUGGAAUUUAUGGUCUAAGGGAGAUAGAGAUUAACUGAUCAUAAGAAUAAAUGUAAAAUUAUAUGGCCAGAUGGUUUUCUUUUUUGAAAUAUUAAUCUUUCUUCUUUCUCUGGCAUUUCCUCUUUCUUUAUAGGGCAGUUGGACUCAGGAAAUUCACUGCUGCAGGGUAGGGAUGACUCAGUGGAAGUCAGUAGUCAGUUCUUGUCUUUUGAGUGUCAAAACUGAAGCUCAAAUGUGUGUGUGUGGGUGGAGGGUGGAGGUGGUGGUGGGUGGUGGAGGAUAGAAAGAACCAGGUGAAAACCCAAAGAUUUGGAAGGCGCAGGGUGAUUUCCUGGGCUGGGGGAAGACAGGGUGAUGGUGAGGGGUUGGGCUGUUGCUGGGUGGGCUUUGAAGAUGGGCCAUGUACCUGCCCGGAUCCUUCUCUGCCCCUCAUCCAAGGAGGUCUGGAGGGCCUGGGAACAGAGAAGACUUGUAUCACCAUCCCCAGGGUAAAGCUCAGGGAGGUGGAAGGGCCCCAGCAUUCCCUGAGCCAGUAGAGCACAGACUCCAUGGUGUUUUGGAGCAGAGUCUUAAGGCAGCCUUGAGUCUUCUGGGGCCAGGGCAGCUCUGCAACCCACCAGCUGAGGCUCACCCAGAGUCACCAUGGGGGGCAGGUCCUCCACUUGCCUCUGUUGCUGGGUCCAUGCCUGGACCUACCUACCAGGUGGGCCGCACACCUUUUCUUCUGGGGAGGAAAAUGUUUCUCUGAGUUUCACUUUUUAAAAAAUUUUGACAAAAGCAUAUUGGCCACUCUGGCUCUUCCAGCUCAGCAGCACCUGGCAUUGUUUUCUGACCACCUGAUGUGCCAUGUGCUGCCACCCACUCCUCUUAGCUGCCCAUGCUUGCCCUGUGAAAAAGGCGCCUCAGUGCGGAGGCUGAAGGUCAAGUAUGGGGAGGGGGAAUGAAAGAACCACAGGCUUGACCCUCAGCCACAAGGUCUCCCACAGUCCCUGGAACCACUGCGGGGCUGGGCCACUGUUGGGGGUCUGCCUUCCAGAUGCAGAGAGCGCUGGAGUGGGAGUCAGAGCAUGGAUAAGCCUGGCUAUGCCCCUGAACUGGCCAUGUGACCUGAGACAAGUCUCACUAUCUCCAAGCCUGUUACUUCAUUGAUAAAACAAGGACAAAAUCAGUGUGGUCAAUGAGAUAAAGGAUUUGAAAGAUCAAGUGUUGUUGUCAUAAUAAAAGUAGAUUUGCUGAGCACCAUGCCCUGAGCCAGGCACUGUGUCAAGAGGUGGCUCAGGUGAAUCUCGUUGAUUCUUCCCCACACGCCUGUGAUGUGGGAUGCAGACAUUAUUGUUACCCCAUUACAUAGAAGGGGAAACUGAGGCACAGAGAGCUCAAGGAAGCUGCUGAAGAUCAUAUAGUUCGUAUUUCGCAAGCUGGUAUUCAAAGCCAGGCUGGCAGAGCCCACACCGAGACCCCUUCUAUAUCAUGCAGCACUUUUGGAGAUUCCCUGGUAGGAUGGGGCAGAAAGGGACUCUGAGGCCAUCUCAUCCACUCAUCAUACAGAGAAGGAAACUGAGCCUCAGAGGAGGGAAUGGACUUGCUUACGAUCUCAAGCAGCCUAGACACCACAUUGAUAUAUGCAUGAAUAAAAUGUGAAACAUUACAUGUUCCUUUUGGACAAACGCAUGUGAAUCCACAAAAAGGACUUUCUGAGGAUGUCCAAACUUGCCCACAUGGGAUGCUCUAAUUUUGAAAAGUGCAGGUCUUGGGCAAGGCUGUGAUGAGGAGACGGGAAUGUGCGGGGGACCUUUGAGGACCACUAAGCACUGCUCAGAGCAGAAGGAACAAAGCAGGACCGCUGCCUCCUUCACCAGCCUGGAUUUGACUCCCAGCUUUGUCCAGAGAGGGAAUUGGUCCUGAAGAAACAGUCAGAGGUGAGCACUGAGAUGUAUGAUGCAGGGUGCUCACUGUAACACUGUUUCCAAGAAUGAAACAUCCGAAGGAACCUAAAUGUCCAACAACAGGGGACUGGUUAAAAAUGCCAUUGUAGUUUUGUCGGGUUCUAGAAUAUAAGACAACCGUUAAGAAUAGUGUUAUAGAAUAAGUGUCUAAAGGCAUAUGGAAUGUGUUCCCGGUUGUAUUUGUCUGUUUUCACACUGCUAAUAAAGGCAUACCUGAGACUGGGUAAUUUAUAAAGAAAAAGAGGUGUAAUGGACUCACAGUUCCACAUGGCUGGGGAGGCCUCACAAUCAUGGCAGAAGGUGAAGGAGGAGCAAAGCCACCUCUUACACUGCGGCAGGCAAGAGAGCAUGUGCAGGGGAACUCCCCUUUGUAAAACCAUCAGAUCUCAUGAGACGUAUUCACCAUCAUGAGAUAGUGAGAACAGCAUAAGAACAGCAUGGGAAAACCUGCCCCCGUGAUUCGGUUACUUCCCACUGGGUCCCUCCCACAAUACAUGGGGAUUAUUACAAUUCAAGGUGAGAUUUGGGUGGGGACACAGAGCCAAACCAUAUUGCCAAUAUAAAGUUAAGAAUAAAGUUGGUUACAACAUAAAGUGGGCCAUUGGAUUUCAGUUUUGUAAAAAGAAAAAAGAAAGUGGUAUAUACAUGGGUUGUGAUUUAUUUCUGCAUUGUGUUUUCUGGAGUUUCCACGUUUCUGAAACAUAUGGCUCUUGUCAUCAGAUCACCCUCCUAUUCUGUUAUUAAUGCUUUUCAGUAAGACAGGGAGGGGGCUUUCUGUCCCUGCAGGGCUUGGACAGCCUGGCUGGCCACCUGCCAGGGAGGUAGGGAGAUAGGGAGGCUACUCUCACAAUACAUGGAGGGAGGGUGUGUCCAUUCCCCUUCCUGGGAACUCUGAACCCUCAGCCUGUCUCAGUGAGGAAUAUUUUCCCAGACUAGGGGCUGAGCCCCAGCCCGGCCCAGCUUCUAUGUGCGAGAGUAGACCAGGAACAGAAGCAUUGCCCACGUUCCCUGGGGAACUUGUCUCCGUGAGGUGCCCACUGACAGGCUGGCUCAUUUGUUCAUUCAUUCAACAAAAAUCUCCUGAGCACCUACUAUGUGCCUGCCACUGUUUCAGGUGCUGAGAAUACAGUAGUCAAUAAAGUAGCAGCAUUGUUGUCCUUGUGGUGCCUGUAUUCUGAUGCAGACAAUGAGCAAUUGAAUACAUAUAUAAUAUAAUGUCAAGUGGUAAAACGAGCCAUAAGUAAAAAGGAGAGCCAAAAAAGAUAGAGAAGGAUAAGGAGGUGACAAUUUGGGGUGGGCUGGUCAGGGAAGACCUCUGUGAGGAGUGGCAGUAUUGAGCAGCUAGUUGAACAUUGAGAGGGUGCCAGCCAUGUGAAUACCAGGACAGAAAGUUCCAGGUUGAGGCAGUAGAAAGUGCAAAGGUCCUGGGGCAGGAGUGUGAUGGAUAUCUGAGGACAAGCUAGGGGAGACAGUGAAGCUGGGAAGACAUGGUUCAGAAUGUGAUUAUGGGAGGGUGGAGGGAGAGGCCAGACACUGGACUUGUGGGAGAAGAUCAAAGACACUGGUUUUUGUUCUGAGUGAGGUGGGAGCCUCCAGAAGUCUUUCAGCAGAGGAGUGAUGAGGACUGAUGUCUGUUUAGCAGGAUGGCCCUGGCUGGGCGGAGCGGGGAAAAAGCUGCUGCACCCACCCAGGGGAUCAGUGAUGGCAGCUGGACACUGACCUGCCUUCUGGGCCUGCAGCCAUCAGGUCAUCUUCCAGCUGUCCAUCUCCUGAAGGCUGGGAGGCCUGUGAGGCUUGGGUUCGCCCUCUGAUAUAGUUUGGCUCUGUGUCCCCACCCAAAUCGCAUGUUGAAUUGUAAUGCCUAAUGUUGGGGGAGGGACCUGGUGGGAGGUGAUUGGAUCAUGGCGAGGAAUUCCCCUUUACUCUUCUCGUGAUAGUGAGUGAGUUUUCAUGAGAUCUGAUUGUUUGAACAUGUGUAGCACAUCCUUCUUCACUCUUUCUCUCUCUCCUGCCCUGCCAUGGUAAGAUGUGCUUGCUUCCUCUUUGCCCUCCACCAUGAUUGUAAGUUUCCUGAGGCCUCCUAGCCAUACUUCCUGUACAGCCUGCAGAAAAGCAAGUCAAUUAAACCUCUUUUCUUCAUAAAUUACCCAGUCUCAGGUAGUUCUUUAUAGUUGUGUGAGAAUAGACUAAUACACUCUCCCUGGGGGAAGAGGCUGAGUGAGAUCCGGGGUGAUGGGGGGUGGUUGGGCCACAAGGUAAAAGUCUGCAGCCAGAACCUCCACUGGUCAAGGCUGCAGCCAGGGUGCUCCACCGCUCUUUCCCAUCAGCUGCUAGGAUAAACUCUCUCCCUGGAGAGGGAAGGGGAUGUCAGGAAGGAUGCCAGACACACAGACUGCUUCAUUCGUCCAACAAAUACUUACUGAGGAUUUACUACAUGGGAACAGCUGUGAACAAGAGAGAUCGAACUUCCUGGCCCUACAGAGCUCCCAUUGGAGUGGAAGGAGAAACACUAAACAAAUGAAUGAGUGAAAGAUAUAGUUGGCCAGAUGAUGAGGCUGGGAAGUCCAAGUUCCAGGUGACUGUGCCUGAUGAGGACCUUCUCUUGCUGCAUCAUCCCAAGGCAGAAGGUGGAAGAGCAAGAGAGCAUGCUUGUAUGAGAGAGGAAGGGGACCAAAGCCAUCCUUUAUAUCAGGAGCCCACUCCCGUGAUAACUAACCCACACCUGUGACAAUAAUAUGUGAUAUGGGGUUUUGUGAUGCUCCCUUAGGAAACUGGCUGUGAAGAUGCUUUGUAAAUGACAAAGACUGUGCACGUGUAACAGGUCAUAGAAUUGAUGGUGAUUCUUUACAACAGGUUUUCUGGCCGAGCACAAGUGCUCUUGGCCCUUUGAGCCUCAGUUUCUGCAUCUGUGGCAUAGGCCAAGCUCUGCCUGCUGUACAGGUUAUUGAGGAUCAACUGGGAUGGCAUAUAUUACACAAUUGUGUGUCCCCCAGAUGGAAGGACUGGCUGUUUCCCAGUAACAAAUAAUUGGGAGGUAACCUGAUUCAGCUUGGACAGAAAAAUCUACCCCUGAGCAGAGGCAUUUUGCUCCUUCCUUUUUGAGAUGAAGAAGAACAAAGAAGAAAACAGAAGGUGAGACAGAGAGAAAAUCUAUUGCUCUGUAGUCCCAGAAUCCCCAAGCAAAGGCACAGACACAGGUGACAAAAGUACUGGGCACUUCUGGGGGAUCAAGAAGCUUGUUCCAGCCAGAAGGAUCUCAACAGGAAAUUCAUGAUCACAUAAGAGGAGCCCUGAAGGCUUUUGAUGCCAAACCCGCCUGAAGUCACAGAACUGGAGUGUAGGCUGUGUUCAAGCUAGAAGAGACAUCCCUGCCCUCAAACCCAGAGAGGCCAGGCAGCAGCUUCUGCUGCUGUCUGCUACCAGAUGGGUCACCCUCUAUCUCUUAGACUUGAGAUGACCCCUCCCUGGCACAUCACCUCUCCACCCAGAGCUGUUCCUGAUAUUUAUUAGGCAGGAUGGAAUUUCAUUUUAUACAUAACAAAUAAAUAAGGUGUUCUUCUAAGUUCUUUAUAAACGUCAACUCAUUUAAUCCGUAACAGUCCAAUGAAUCCCAUUUUACAGGUGAGAAAACUGAGGCCCAGGGAGUUUACACAGCUGGUGAAUGGUGGAGCUGGGAUUCUAGCCCAGGCAAUCUGGCUCCUGAAUGAAGGCAAGGCAAUGAUUCUCCAAACACUGGAGGAAUGGCCAGGUCAGGCUGCAGAUCCGACCUGUGGUAGGAGGGACAGAAGCUGUCCUCUGGAGGCCCUCAGCAAGCCUGGGGUAGGUGCAGGACUCAGGGGAGUGUGGAGCCUGUGUUGACCUUGAUUCCCUGGCUAGCAUGGGGGAGCCCCUGAGAAGGCGAUGGGGGCCCCGUGGUCUGAUGAGCCUGGGCCCACCUGGAACAGUGAAGAGGUAGAGGGCCCCAUGGGAAGCCUCCAUUGCCUGGGCCUUUGCCUGAGACCACUGGACAUCUGGAUGAGAGAAAACAAAGGCUUGAUGUGUCAAGCAUUCCCUCUGUCUUCUCUGGUUUCUCCAAGCCCUUCUGGUCCACCAUGCUGCCUCCCCACUCCUCAGGAGCUUGACAUACUUAGUUUCCUCAGCCAGGAUUUUUCUUUUCUCCCCUAGCAUCCUCCUCCCUCAUCCCCCUGCCUCCCCAUUUCCAACCCAUCUUUCCCAUCUCAACUUGAACAUCACUUUCUGGGAUGUGGCUCUCAGUCCACAGGCAAUGUUGGCUUCUCCAGUUGUAGAUUCUCAGAGUGUCCAGAACACUCACUUUGUAGCUCUUUGGUCUCACCUGUAAUUAAACAAUUCAUUGUGCAGUUGUAAUUUCAAAAAUAGCAUUAUUGACCUGUACAUAUUUAGGGUUUAAAAUGUGAUAAGUUUUGACAUAUAUUAAAAGAAAUGGCAAAAACCACAAUUACUUUUGCACCAAUCAAAUAUACUCACUCAUUAAAACAUCACCACAGUCAAGAUAAUGAACAUAUUUAUCUUCCCUAAAAGGUUAGCUCAUGACUCCUUGUAAUCCCUCACUUCCUCCCGCCAACCCUCUCCACCCUAGAUCUAGUCAACUGAUCUAAUUUCUGAUUGGCAUUUUCUAGAAUUUUAUACAAAAAUAUUCUAUGAUGUAUACACUUUUUGGCUUCUUUCACUCAACAUAAUUAUUUUGAGAUUCAUUCAUACUGUUGUGUGUGUCAGUAGUUCCUUUUCAUUGCAGAAUAGUAUUUCAUUCUCUGGAUAAAGCAAAAUUUUUGUAACUAUUCACUAUUGAUGGAUAUUUGGGGUGAGUCCAGCUUUUGGUGAUUGCAAAUAAAGCUGCAAUAAUUAUCUGUGUAUAAAUCUUUGUAUGGUUAUAUGUUCUGAUUUUUCUUGAGUAAAUAACUUAAGAGUAGAAUGGCUGGGUCAUAUGUGGUUGGUGUAUGUUGAUGUUUUAAAAAACUGAUAAACAGUUUUCCAAAGUGGUUGUACCAUUUUACACUCCCUCCAGCAAUGUAUCAGAGUCCCACUUCAGCCACUUCCUUGCCAACUCUUGGCAUGUUCAGUCUUUAUAAUUGCAGCUGUUACAACGGAUGUGCUGCAUUAACUCACUGUGGUUUUAAUGUGUAUUUCCCUGAUGAUUACUGAUGGUGAGUAUCUUUGCAUUUUUCUAUUUGCCAUCCAUAUGUUUGCUUGGUGAAAUACGGGUUCAAAUGCUUUACCCAUUAUUAUUUUUGCAAUUGGGGCUGGGCCCAGUGGCUCACGCCUAUAAUACCAGCACACUGGGAUGCCAAGAAGGGAGGAUAGCUUGAGCCCAGGAGGUCAAGGCUGCAGUGAACCAUGAUCAUGCCACUGCAUUCCAGCCUGGGCAGCAGAAUGAGACACUGUCUAAAGAAAUAAAGAAAUAAAUAAAAAUAAAUUGGGUUGUUUAUGAUUGUAAGGUCUUUAUCAUUAGAUCAAAAGCUCUGUGAGGAUAGAGACAUCUUCUCUGUUCAUUGUUGCCGGUGAGGCUCCAGGGCCCAGCACAGUGCUAGGUAUACAGUUGGCAUUCAAUAAAUGUUUGUUAAAUGAAUGAAUGAAUGAAUGAAUGAAUUAAUGAAUGAAGGGCAUGUCUCUGUGUGGCUCAAGUUGGCCAAAUAUGCCUGUGGUAGGGUCAGGAGAGAGUCAGCAGAUAUGCCUGUGGUAGGGUCAGGAGAGAGGAGAGCAGUUAGACUCGACAAUAGCAGGAGAAGUGGAAGGUGAAAGAAGAAAGCAGGGCCUACAGAGGCUAUAUCCGGGUCCCUGGGAGGAUCCCUCACCCUGGCUCAGGACCCAAAGCUUUUUCGGUGAGCGAAUUCUACCCAAAAUUUCAAGGACUUCUGGGGUCCAUUGUGGAUCCCAGCUUAUUCCUCUCUAUUAUCAGGUCCCCCAGAGACCGUAUGCCAAAGGCUUGCUGAUGGGGAAAUGGCAAGCCUGGGAAGAGGCUUGUGGGGAGAUUUUAGGGCUUCAGUCACAGCUGCAUGCCCUGCCCAGAGUGAACAGUCUCAGACUUUGAACACAAAAUGGCACUGCCUUGAAGGCUGAACUGACCCUAUAACCACAAGACUUGAGCUGCUGAUCCCUGCAAGACAAGCCUAGAGCUCACGGGGGAAUCCUUCCAAAAAGUCUGAAAGCCGGAGCUCCCUUUUCCACCUCCUCAUUCUCCCUUUGUCCCAGAGACAGCUCUCAUGCUCAUGGUGGGCAUGGCAUUUAGACUUUCAGAGUUAUUUCCAAAUGAGGUUUCAUAUCAGCCACUGGAUUGUGCAUAGGCGGUGGUGAAAGCCUCAAGUAGUUACAAGCAAACACUUAAUGUAGGCCACAAGGCUCUGUACCGUGGCUUUGCCUUUCUCCAGUCUGCACAAGGGUGCCUCCACUUGUCAACCUGGGUUGUCUCCACCUGCAGGAAGGGCUCCCUUCUUUAAUUGUUGGAUGGGCACCCAUUAAUUUGAAAGGAGAAACAAGGUGUGUAGGCUAAGAUCAUCCAUGCAAGUACUAACCCGGCUUUGCUAUCGUCUUCAUUUUUAAUAUCUGGUGAGCCUCAGAACCUGGAGGCCUUAAAGUUUCCAGCUCAAGCUCUGUGGGGCUGAAACAAACAAACAACAAGUGGACCAGGCGGUGGGGGCUUUGGGGCUGAGGGGCACUGGGCCAUGCAACCUCCUCCCUUAUGUCCCAAGACAAGGGAAGAAGGAAGCCCAGGAUGUGAACCCCAGGAGGGUCUUUAGGUCUAACGAGGUACAGUCAUAGAUGGACAUCACAAAACCUUCUUGAUCUACAAAUGGAUGAGAACCAGGGAGAGGUGACCAUGAGGAUAUUGAAACAGCACUGGUUUCAGUCUCAACUCUGCCGCUUAUGAGUACCGGAUCCAUCACUUACCCUCUCUGAGCCUCAGCUUCCUCAUCUGCAACAUAGGAAUAAUAAUGUUCACCUCAUGGGGCUGAUGAGAGGUGUGAUGGUUAAUUUUACAUUUCAACUUGGCUAGGCCAUGGUACCCAGAUAUUUGGUCAAACACUAGCCUGGAUGCUGCUGUAAAGGUAUUUUUUAAGGUGAGAUUAACAUCCAAAUCAGUAGGCUUUGAGGAAAGCUCCUUCAUAAUGUGAGUGGGCUGCAUCCAAUAAAUUGAAGGCCUUAAUAGAAAAAAUGACUGAUCUCCCCCGAGGAAGAAGGAAUUUGGCUAGCAGACUGCCUUUGAACUUGAGCUAUAAUAUCGACUCUUCCCUGUCUAGUCUGCCAGCCCACCCUGCAGAUUUUGGACUUGUGUGAGCCCAUUUCUUAAAAUAAAUCUCCUUCUGUCACACACACACACACACACACACACACACACACACACACACACACACACACACCCUGUUGGUUCUGGCUCUGUUUCUUUAGAGAACUCUAAUACAGGAGGAUUAAAUGAUAAAAAAUAUAAUGACAGAUGCAAGACAGAGUACAAACUGUGUGAUUCCAUUUAUAUGAACUUCCAGAAAAGGCAAAUCUAAUCUAUAGUGAACAAAAGUAGGCUAUGGUAGCCCAGGGCUGGGGUUGGAGGAUGGACUGCAAAUUGGCACAGGAGACUUUUUGGGAUGAGGAAAUGAGAUGUGGUUUUGUGGGUAUACACAUUUGUUAAAACUCAUCAAAUUGUAAUAUUAAAAAUUGGCCAGAUGUGGUGGCUUACACCUGUAAUCCCAGCACUUUGGGAGGCCGAGGCAGGCAGAUCACCUGAGGUCAGGAGUUUGAGACCAGCCUGGUCAAAGGGUGUAACUCCGUCUGUAAUAAAAAUACAAAAAAUUAGCCGGGCAUGAUGGCAUGUGCCUGUAGUCCCAGCUACUUGGGAGGCUGAGGCACAAGAAUCGCUUGAACCCAGGUGGCAGAGAUUGCAGUGAGUUGAGAUUGUGCCACUGCGUUUCAACUGGGGUGGCAAAGCGAGACUCCAUCUCAACAACAACAACAAAAAAAGUGUUGGGACAACUAGAUACCCCCAUUUGAAAGAAGGAAGUUGGAUUUCUCUCUUACAUUUUACACAAAAAUUAACUCAAAAUGAAUCAUACCUAAAUGUAAGAGCUAAAACUGUAAAGCUCUUAGAAGAAAAUAUAGUAGUAAAAUAUAGGCUUUGCCUACCCCAGUAUCUUAGGUAUGAAACAAAGAACACAAAUGACAAAAAAAUAGGUAAAUUGGAUUUUAUGAAAACUAAAAACUUCAAAGAAUGUUAUCAAGAAAAUGAAAGGACAACUGACAAAAUGGGGAAAAAUAUCUGCAAAUCAUGUACCUGAUAAAGGACUUGUACCUAGAAUAUAUAAAGAACCAUUAAACUUAGUAAUGAUAAAACAAAUAACCCAAUUUUAACAUAAGCAAAGUAUCUCAAUAGAUAGUUCUCCAAAGAAGAUAUAUAAAUGGUCAAUAAGCACAUGGUAAGAUGCUCAAUAUCAUCAGCCAUUAGGCAAACGCAAAUCAAAACCACAAUGAAAUAUCACUUCACAUCUAUUAGGGUGAGAAUAAUUAAAAAGACUGAUAAUAACAAGUGUUGGUGAGGAUGUGGAGAAAUUGGAACCCUCAUACAUUUUUGGUGGGAAUGGAAAAUGACACAGCUGCUUUGGAAAACUGUCAGACAGUUCCUCAAAAGGUCCCACAUGCAUGUGACCCAGUAAUUCUACUCCUAGGUAUUAUAACCAAGAUAAAAGAAAAUGUAUGUUCAUACAAAAACUUGCACAUGUAUGUUCCUAGUAGCAUUGUUUAUGGUAGCAAAAACAUGGAAACAACUCAAAGAAGGAAUGGCUAAAUAAAAUGUGCUAUAUUCAUACAGUGGAAUAUUGUCUAGCGGUAAAAAGGAAUGAAGUACUGAUGUGUUCUAGAACACCAAUGAACCUUGAAAGCAUUAUGUUAAGUGAAAGAAGCCAGACACAGAAAAUCAUACUGCCCAUAAUUAGCAAAUCUUAUGGGGGUAGAAAGUAGAUUAGUGGUUGACUAGGGCUGGCGGGGUGAUGGUUGGAAGACAUAGGGAGAGACUGCUAAUAGAUCUGAAUUUUUGGUGGGGAGGGAUAAUGAAAUAGAUUGGGUGAUAGUUGCACAACUAUGUCAGUAUACAAAAAACCACAGAGCUGUACAUGUCAUGUGGGUGAAUUAUAUGGUAUAAAUUGUAUCUCAAUAAAGCUAUUAAAAAUGGG
Gorilla gorilla gorilla (western lowland gorilla) is the source of this 15006-nucleotide long non-coding RNA. RefSeq lists it as uncharacterized. Lineage: Eukaryota; Metazoa; Chordata; Mammalia; Primates; Hominidae. The record is from RefSeq and is a predicted model, not a curated record. The transcript is spliced from 7 exons.